This 513-nucleotide ribosomal RNA is filed under the name uncultured bacterium. Its description in RNAcentral is "bacterial SSU rRNA". It matches the Rfam family "Bacterial small subunit ribosomal RNA", at positions 372 to 879 of the family's 1533-position model. The record is from RNAcentral.
UGGGCGAAAGCCUGACCGAGCGACGCCGCGUGUGGGAUGAAGGCCUUCGGGUUGUAAACCACUGUCAACGGGGAGGAAAUGUAGGGGGGUACUCCCCUCUACUUGACCUAUCUGUGGAGGAAGUACGGGCUAAGUUCGUGCCAGCAGCCGCGGUAAGACGAACCGUACGAACGUUAUUCGGAAUUACUGGGCUUAAAGGGUGCGUAGGCGGUGCGGUAAGUUGGGUGUGAAAGCCCUCAGCUCAACUGAGGAAUUGCACUCAAAACUACCGUGCUAGAGGGAGACAGAGGUAAGCGGAACUCAAGGUGGAGCGGUGAAAUGCGUUGAUAUCUUGAGGAACACCGGUGGCGAAGGCGGCUUACUGGGUCUUUUCUGACGCUGAGGCACGAAAGCCAAGGUAGCAAACGGGAUUAGAUACCCCGGUAGUCUUGGCUGUAAACGAUGAGCACUUGAUUGAAGGGUCCUCCAUAGCCUUUCAGUCGUAGCGAAAGUGUUAAGUGCUCCGCCUGGGGA